GUGACGUGCAUGAAUGGAUUAACGAUAUUCCCACUGUCCCUAUCUACUAUCUAGCGA
This 57-nucleotide ribosomal RNA is filed under the name Pavlova sp. CCMP459. Its description in RNAcentral is "partial Eukaryotic large subunit ribosomal RNA". It matches the Rfam family "Eukaryotic large subunit ribosomal RNA", at positions 2306 to 2362 of the family's 3401-position model. The record is from RNAcentral. Lineage: Eukaryota; Haptophyta; Pavlovophyceae; Pavlovales; Pavlovaceae.